This 882-nucleotide ribosomal RNA is filed under the name Pseudomonas entomophila. RNAcentral's name for it is "bacterial SSU rRNA". It matches the Rfam family "Bacterial small subunit ribosomal RNA", at positions 9 to 887 of the family's 1533-position model. The record is from RNAcentral. Lineage: Bacteria; Pseudomonadati; Pseudomonadota; Gammaproteobacteria; Pseudomonadales; Pseudomonadaceae.
GAGUUUGAUCCUGGCUCAGAUUGAACGCUGGCGGCAGGCCUAACACAUGCAAGUCGAGCGGAUGACGGGAGCUUGCUCCUUGAUUCAGCGGCGGACGGGUGAGUAAUGCCUAGGAAUCUGCCUGGUAGUGGGGGACAACGUUUCGAAAGGAACGCUAAUACCGCAUACGUCCUACGGGAGAAAGCAGGGGACCUUCGGGCCUUGCGCUAUCAGAUGAGCCUAGGUCGGAUUAGCUAGUUGGUGAGGUAAUGGCUCACCAAGGCGACGAUCCGUAACUGGUCUGAGAGGAUGAUCAGUCACACUGGAACUGAGACACGGUCCAGACUCCUACGGGAGGCAGCAGUGGGGAAUAUUGGACAAUGGGCGAAAGCCUGAUCCAGCCAUGCCGCGUGUGUGAAGAAGGUCUUCGGAUUGUAAAGCACUUUAAGUUGGGAGGAAGGGCAGUAAGUUAAUACCUUGCUGUUUUGACGUUACCGACAGAAUAAGCACCGGCUAACUCUGUGCCAGCAGCCGCGGUAAUACAGAGGGUGCAAGCGUUAAUCGGAAUUACUGGGCGUAAAGCGCGCGUAGGUGGUUCGUUAAGUUGGAUGUGAAAGCCCCGGGCUCAACCUGGGAACUGCAUCCAAAACUGGCGAGCUAGAGUAUGGUAGAGGGUGGUGGAAUUUCCUGUGUAGCGGUGAAAUGCGUAGAUAUAGGAAGGAACACCAGUGGCGAAAGCGACCACCUGGACUGAUACUGACACUGAGUGCGAAAGCGUGGGGAGCAAACAGGAUUAGAUACCCUGGUAGUCCACGCCGUAAACGAUGUCAACUAGCCGUUGGAAUCCUUGAGAUUUUAGUGGCGCAGCUAACGCAUUAAGUUGACCGCCUGGGGAGUACGCCG